UAUAAGAUGUCAGACAUUCCAAUAUAUAAAAUGGGGCGAGAUUAUUUAAGGCUUUAUAAACCAUAAGCAGAAUUUUAAAGUCAAUCCUGAAUGACACAGGUAACCAGUGUAGUGACAUCAAAACUGGAGAAAUGUGCUCGGAUUUUCUUUUCCUAGUUAGGAUUCUAGCAGCUGCAUUCUGCACUAGUUGCAAACGAUUUAUGUCUUUUUUGGGUAGUCC
Molecule: long non-coding RNA, 220 nt
Organism: Erpetoichthys calabaricus (reedfish)
Lineage: Eukaryota; Metazoa; Chordata; Cladistia; Polypteriformes; Polypteridae
Exons: 2
Source: RefSeq, a predicted model, not a curated record